UUCUUCAUGUGUUCAGUACUUUGUCCCUGUGUCGUUUCACAUAACUUAAUUUCUGUACUUAUUUGUUUUGAUUUCUUUAUAUGUGUGCAUUACUUGGGUUGCUACUGACAUCUGCUGAAAAUUUCAUGUCAGUAGCACUUUUAGAAAUAUAUUUACUGAGAAAAAUGAAAAAAAUGGCUGAUGU
Molecule: long non-coding RNA, 184 nt
Organism: Thalassophryne amazonica
Lineage: Eukaryota; Metazoa; Chordata; Actinopteri; Batrachoidiformes; Batrachoididae
Exons: 3
Source: RefSeq, a predicted model, not a curated record